This is a long non-coding RNA of Oreochromis niloticus (Nile tilapia), 5282 nucleotides long. RefSeq lists it as uncharacterized. The transcript is spliced from 3 exons. The record is from RefSeq and is a predicted model, not a curated record. NCBI's taxonomy places the organism in Eukaryota, Metazoa, Chordata, Actinopteri, Cichliformes, Cichlidae.
UCCCCCUUGUAGUAGGUUUUGGAUGCUGGAUACUCCAUUCCCUCAUCGAAUAGCUGUUUGAAGCUUGAAGCCACCAGAUGAAGCUCCUCUUCAUCACAGGCGUACACCUGUUGGUCCUCAAAGGUCAUCAGAACGAGCUGGUCACAUGGACAUGAGAUGCCCUCCACCACGCCAACAACUUGCAUGGUUACAGUCUUUGGAAGCUUUGAGCUUGGGUGUAGAAGCUGCUGCCUCUGCACUGAAACAUCAACCAUCCUGGGUGGGUACAUCCUGUGUGGCAGUUUGGUUUAAGGCUUCAGUCUGCAGUCAUUCACACAUCUGAGAGUGAGUCAGCCUACUUCAUGUCUGCUUGCUCCUUUGGAUUUUCUUCCUGUGGACACACAUGUGGGCCGUCUUCAACUCCUUCCAGCUCUUUGUGGUAUACAAGAGGGUUUAUUGUCCAAAUCCAACAAGUCCCUGGCAGCCGCUGAAAACUGCUCAGCAUCUUUGAUUUAUGUCCUUCAAAUCCAAAACCUUCACCUCUCUCUAAAACUUUCUUAUCAUCUUUUCUUUAUUUAACCUGUUAGUGCCAAAUCUUCUUUUAACAAGUGUUUAAGAAGAGUUUUUCAUGACCCUGAUCUCUCAUUUUACUCAGAUUUGAAACCCCAACAUUUCUAAUCUGUAAUUUAUCAAAAUAAAAGCCUAAAAAAUGUUUACACUUUCAGCAGCAGAGACAAAUAAAAACUUCCUCUCACUUAAACUGUGCUGAGCGGUGCCGAACUGAGGUGUAAAACUAUUUACACGACUCACUAGAACAAAACUUAGUAAGAAUACAGCGGGUAAGAAACUGGUUCUUACCCGCUGUCGAGCAAUUUGUCUGUUGCCAUUCUAAUUCUCCGUCACCUACAAAAUAAAGUUUGAAUCAUUAGAAUGAACUUUCGAUUAAUAUAUCAAACCUUUAUUGAUUCACUGACACAUGAAUAAAAUACAAUAGGAUAAAAUAAUUUUUCACAUUUUGCUCACAGCAGUGAAAAUAACAGCCACUAAACUGGAGCUCAUUACUUUUUUUGUGAGUGUGACUGCACCGCACUGGCACAAAGCCUUCAGAUUAAAAAACUAAAACAAACCGUAAACUGAGUUUAACAGUGGAAACAGCAAAAUCCUACAUUAAUAAUAAUCAAGUCAUCUUUUCUGAGAACAUUUGCGAAGCAUAUAAGCCGAAGAUAAAUCUGGGUGUCGUCAGCAUAAGAGUGAAAGCAGCUGUUAUGCUUCUUAAAAAUUAGGCCUAAGGGUAGCAUAUAGAUUGAAAAGAGAAUUGGGCCUAAUACGGAACUCUACAGGACACCACAAGUAAAUGGAGCUGUGGAGGAAGUAAAAUCAUCAAGGCUCACGGGAAAAAGUCCUCUCGGAGAGGUAGGACCUAAGCCAUUACAAAAGGGAUACCUUUGAUACCACAUUGCUCCAAUUGCGAGAUCAGAAUGCUGUGGUCGACGUUAUCAAAGGCUGCAGUUAAGUCUAAAAGCAGGAGCACAGCUGAAUCACCUGAAUCGGUGAUUAAUAAAAUAUUAAGAAUUUUUAGGAGGGCAGUUUCUGUACUGUGGUAGGAUUUGAAGCCCCACUGGAAUUUCUCUAGAAUAUUAUGACAAUUUAGAAAGGAUUGUAACUGCUCAAAUACAAUUCUUUCCAAAACUUUUGACAGAAAUGGAAGCUUGGAAAUAGGUCUGAAAUUAGCAAGAACAGAGGAGUCAAGGUUGGGUUUUUAAAGUACUGGCUGUACUACGGCAUGUUUGAAACCAGUUGGUACCACUCCAGAGCUAAGACUACUAUUAAAAAUGGUUACCAUUUCGGAGCCGACAACCUAAAUCUUUUUUAGAAAAUGUGUUGGGACUCCAUCUGUGGGGCAGGAUGAUGUCUUUAUACUAUUACAAAGAUCUUCCAUUUGGUUAAAACAUACAGACUCAAACUGGUCAAAAGCAGUAGAGAAGGUAUAUGUUAUAAAGACAUCAUACGGGGACAGAAUAGGCACGGGUCGAAGCAUUUCUAUCCAAUUAAUAAAAAAACUGCAAGAAUCUCUUGCAAGUUUCAGCAGAGCUAUACAUAUGAGAGGCGGGAGAGGUUUUCAGGGCCAAAUCAAUAAUUGAAAAGAGUUUGGGGAUUAUUAGAGUUGUUCUCAAUAGUGUUUGCGAGAAAGUUAGAUUUUUCAGCUUUCACAAUGUCCUGAUAUCUAUAUUGACUCUCUCUCAGCAGCAGAAAAUAAACUUGACCUUAAACGUAACCUGUCUUUUUUUUCCAUUUUCGUUCGGCCUUCCUGCACUGUCAUCUAGCUGAUCGGGUCGUCUCGUUUAUCUGCGGGUCAAAUUUAGUUGUUGGUCGCGCUAGUUUAAACGGGGCAAUCUCAUCAAGAAUAGCCUUGCAUUUACUAGUAAAGUUCGAUUCGAUCUGCUCAGUGCCGUCGCCAAGGGAAGAACCCGACCAUUUUUGAAAGGCAAUGGAGAAGUGUUCUAUAGCCGAUGGUUUAAAAACACGAUAACGGUGUGUUUGGGAUUGAUUUAAAAUGGCAGUGGGAUAAAAGUAUGUUAAACACAAUGGUCAGAGAAAAUCACAUCACAUAUUUCCAAGUUAGAAAUUGGUAAUCCAGAAGACAACAGAAGGUCCAACGUAUGGCCCUGUACAUGUGUUGGAUCCAGUACAUGCUGGGUGAGACUGAAAGAGUCUAUCACAUUUAAAGUCCUUAGCCCCUACGAUUCAGAUUUGAUCAUAACUUAGGAUGAGGUUUAGGUUUUGAAUUAGUUGUCUUCUUUCUUUCUAAUACUGACAGUGUAAUAUAACAUGCUCUACUGUCUCAUCAUCCCCACAGUGCUCACAUUUCCCGUUACAGUGUUUCCCCUAAAAUGAACUGUGCUGUUUAGACCAGUGAGCCCAAAUCUGAGCCAUAAAAUGAUUGUUUCUUCUCUUUUCUUCUGUCUCCUUCUCAUUUCUCCAGUUUUCCUUUGGAUUUUAUAAAACCAUCGCCUUUUUCUUUCUUUCUCCCAUUGAUUUUGCCAUCUUUCCUUCAUUUUCUGUUUUAAUAUUUUAUUUCUGUUUUACUAAAGCUGAUCCUUGGUUCCACUAAUCUUUUUCCAGUGGCCUCCUUUGCAGACUUAUCUGCCAUUUCAUUUCCCUUAACACCGUAAUAUGCUGGUACCCAUAAAAAGUUAACCAUUAGUCCUAACCCUAACCUUAACUUCCAUCAUGUUUAGUUUAUGUAGCGUUUGUUGAAUUUCUAUUAAGAUGUCUGAUCUACUUUCUGAAUGGUUGCAUUGUAAACUUACUAAUGAUGAACUGGAAUUUGAACAAAUGACUGAUCUUAAUGGUCUUGUGUCUUUUAACUCUCUGGACGGCUGAUAACACCACAAGCACUUCUCCUGUGUAUCCAUCAUUUAUCCUUUUCCCUACUUUGUUAUUAAACUCUAAUAUGAUCAAAGCUACUCCAACUCUAAUAGAUACACUCUUAGAUGCAUCUGUAUAAUUUUUUAAAUAAUUGUAAAAUUAACUAAUAUACUUCUAUACUGUAUGCACAUUUAAAAUAAAUUCCUGUAUCCUUUAUCCAUCUGUACGGUCACCCUGUGAUGCCCAUCUUCUUCACUUUAAUUAAUAACCCUCCCUCCACAUCAUAUCAUUUUAAUAUCAACAAACACUGCUACAAUACUUUCUUUAUUUACUCAGGCUUUCCUAAUUUCAAAUUCCAAACUUGAAACACGCUGGAUGCAGUUUUUACCUCACCUAAAACCACUUUGAUAUUGUAAUAUCUACACCUUUUUUCUAUAUAGUAUAUCAGUCUUUCAUUAAUUGUUUUCUCCAUUAUUUUGCAUACAUUAGAAGUUAGACCAAUUGGUCUGUAAUGUUCUGAUUUUGUAUCAUCUUUACCUGGCUUGCAUAUCGGUAGUAUUAUUGCUUCUUUCCAGCUUUGUGGUAAUUUCGUAUCUUCCCAAAGCUUGUAAAGCUCCAAUAAUAUGACUUUAGAUGACUCACUAAGAUCACUCAUCAUUAUAUAACAGAUUUCAUCUUUCCCUGGUGUUGUUAACCUUUAUUUCUGAAGUCUUGAUUUAACUGAUUUUGAAAAAGGUGCAUUUAGUAAAUCAUUUACAUCCUCUUCAUGUUUUAAUAACUCUCUAUUCUCUGACACUAUCCUUUCUUUUUCCUUCUACAGAAAUAUUAUCUUAACUAUGUCUUUUAACAAAUGUUUUAGCUGUCACAUCUGCUUUUUCUUCAUCUUUUACUGCUGUAACUUCACCAUCACCUAAGAUUGGAUACCCAUAUUCUGUUUUAAUCCCACCCAUUCUUCUUAUCAUUGUCCAUACUUGUCCUGUAAAAUAUCACAACACACAGAGAAAUUUAAAUGAUCAACUUCUGUAUUCCAAUUAAUUUCAUCCAAUUCCUGGUUUGGGAAGCAUUUAGGCUUCUUACAAUCUUCACUACCGAAACACCAUUUCUGAAAACCACCUGCGUCAGACUUUUCAACACCCACAUUUAUUUCAGUUAUUAUAUGAUAGUGGUCACUUCCUAGUGUUUUAUCUUUAAGUACCUGCCAUGUUCUCAGUCCUGCUAGUAAAUCUUAAAGUAUUGUGUGAUCAGUUACUGAUUUCAUACCUGUUCUCAUGUUAACUCUUGUACCCCCCUUCCAACAUUUAAACAAAUAAAAUUUCCAUUGUCCAUUAAUUUCUCAAUUACUGUUUCAUUGUGGUCAUUAGUACCCCAUAAUGAACUGUGUGCAUUAAAAUCGCCACACCAACAUACUUUUCUAUUUAAAUGGAUAUCAAAGUUAUCCAUUCAUUCAGGUGAAAGCCUUUUGCAUGGGUUUUAAAAAUGUACAGUUUUGAUGCUGUUCUUAUUCCAAACUUCAACUAUAUAUUCUGUGUUCCUUUUGCUAUAAUAAAGUUGCACAACCUCCUCCAUGAACCUCACUUCUGCCUCUGUGUACACCACUAUAUCGUCUGAUUACAAAAUCUAAAGUCUGUUUUAGCCAAGUUUCCUGAAUACAGAUUAUGUCUGGUUUCUUAUUUAGAGUCUUAAAGUCAUUUCAGCCUCAUCUUGACUCAAUUAUUUACAUCAUCUCCAAGAUCCAAAUGUGACACAUUAUCCUUUUAAAGAUAUAAAUAAGUUUCUAGAGGUCAUCCACCGUCAACCAGCCCCUUUCUUUACCGUGAAAAGGUACAUAAACCAGUACUGGAAAUUUUUUAGGAUGAUCACACUCUUAAAAGUAAAAAAGUAGAUUGACUUAUAAUAGUUAAAAUCAACUAUGCACUCUGUCAGAGAAAAAACGU